This 234-nucleotide small nuclear RNA is filed under the name Mus pahari (shrew mouse). RNAcentral's name for it is "sRNA (MGP_PahariEiJ_G0007938.1)". It matches the Rfam family "7SK RNA". From Rfam's summary of the family: 7SK was discovered as an abundant small nuclear RNA in the mid-70s but a possible function has only recently been suggested. Two independent studies have found that 7SK RNA binds the CDK9/cyclin T complex (known as elongation factor P-TEFb). The record is from RNAcentral. Lineage: Eukaryota; Metazoa; Chordata; Mammalia; Rodentia; Muridae.
GGAUAUGAAGACAAUCAGUCAGUGCCCCUUUCUUCUGUCACUGCCCCAUGUGUGUCCCUGCACUUGAUUGAAGAGGAUGACCUUUCAUGAACAGAUGAGGGCCAUUCUCCAGCCAAGGGCUGAGAGAAUAACUGUGCUCUCCUGCUGGAAUUCCAAACCAUCUCAAGAAAUAUUGAUGGUAACAGUACACCAUCAAAAUAUAUCCAUGGCAGCUAUAUAAUUUGUAUGUCUCAU